UUCAGCGAUCUAUUCACUUUAGCACACAGCUCACUCUCUGCAUUACCACUCUGAUCCAGUUAAGUUGUACUGCUCCACCUCGUUGGAGUUCUAUGUAUAUUUGUAAAACAAA
Rhagoletis zephyria (snowberry fruit fly) is the source of this 112-nucleotide long non-coding RNA. RefSeq lists it as uncharacterized. The record is from RefSeq and is a predicted model, not a curated record. NCBI's taxonomy places the organism in Eukaryota, Metazoa, Arthropoda, Insecta, Diptera, Tephritidae.